Molecule: ribosomal RNA, 468 nt
Filed under: uncultured bacterium
Lineage: Bacteria
Description: partial 16S ribosomal RNA
Rfam family: Bacterial small subunit ribosomal RNA
Source: RNAcentral
GACGAACGCUGGCGGCGUGCUUAACACAUGCAAGUCGAACGGAAAGGCCCUGCUUUUGUGGGGUGCUCGAGUGGCGAACGGGUGAGUAACACGUGAGUAACCUGCCCUUGACUUUGGGAUAACUUCAGGAAACUGGGGCUAAUACCGGAUAGGAGCUCCUGCUGCAUGGUGGGGGUUGGAAAGUUUCGGCGGUUGGGGAUGGACUCGCGGCUUAUCAGCUUGUUGGUGGGGUAGUGGCUUACCAAGGCUUUGACGGGUAGCCGGCCUGAGAGGGUGACCGGCCACAUUGGGACUGAGAUACGGCACAGACUCCUACGGGAGGCAGCAGUGGGGAAUAUUGCACAAUGGGCGGAGGCCUGAUGCAGAAACGCCGCGUGCGGGAUAACGGCCUUCGGGUUGUAAACCGCUUUCGCCUGUGACGAAGCGUGAGUGACGGUAAUGGGUAAAGAAGCACCGGCUAACUACGUG